AUUCUGUCUGCGCCCGGCAAUUCUGACGUCGUAGGUGCAUGGCUCUGGCCUUGGUGCCCUCCAAAGCCUUCCCAGGUGACUCUAGCGGACAGUCGGGGCUGAGGAGACCUGAUCCAGAUUAGCAGACACUGAAAAGCUGUCCCAGAGGGUCUGUGAGCUCAACACUGGUGCCUCCUGGUUGGAAGGGAGGAGAAAUUUCUCUGAAGAAUGACUAGGUCCUACCGAAGCCUGGACAGUCUUUAAUGUCAGGGCAGAACACCUCCCACCUUUAUAACCGCCUACCUUCCGUAUCCCCAACCACCUGCUCUCAGAUGUACCCGGGCCAGCCGCAUCUAUACCUGCACCCACCACCAUCUGUGCUUGGCUCUCCCCUGCACCUGGGUUCUGUCUGUGCCUGGCUCGUGUCCGAGCCCUGGUCCUGCUGCCAUCACCUUGAGUCUGUAUUCCAGAAGCGUCCCUUCUCAAGAGUCAAGGGCAGGUAUGUGUGGAGGGAACAGACUCUAGCAGGAAAGAGCGGAGUUCUCGCAGAUUCCUUGUGGCAUAAGAGGGAGGACACCAGUGAGCCUGGAGGGGAUGUGUUCACCCAGUAACGGGAACUGCAGAGAGCACUCCGCAGUGACGGGUGGGGAUCGCCUCUGAGCAGCAGUGCAGAAAAGGCCCCCAGAAGCAGAACAGGGCAUUUGGACACGCGGAGAGACACCAGAAGUUCAUGGGCAC
Molecule: long non-coding RNA, 717 nt
Organism: Mustela erminea (ermine)
Lineage: Eukaryota; Metazoa; Chordata; Mammalia; Carnivora; Mustelidae
Exons: 3
Source: RefSeq, a predicted model, not a curated record